Molecule: ribosomal RNA, 251 nt
Filed under: uncultured prokaryote
Description: partial 16S rRNA
Rfam family: Bacterial small subunit ribosomal RNA
Source: RNAcentral
ACGUAGGGGGCGAGCGUUGUCCGGAAUUACUGGGCGUAAAGGGUGCGUAGGUGGCCUUUUAAGUUGGAUGUGAAAUACCCGGGCUUAACUUGGGGGGUGCAUCUAAUACUGGAGGGCUAGAGUGCAGGAGAGGAAAGCGGAAUUCCUAGUGUGGCGGUGAAAUGCGUAGAUAUUAGGAGGAGCACCGGUGGCGAAGGCGACUUACUGGACUGAAUCUGACGCUGAGGCACGAAAGCGUGGGGAGUAAAGAG